GAGGAGCACGCCGCGUGAGUGAAGAAGGUUUUCGGAUCGUAAAACUCUGUUGUUAGAGAAGAACACGGAUGAGAGUAACUGUUCAUUCCUUGACGGUAUCUAACCAGAAAGCCACGGCUAACUACGUGCCAGCAGCCGCGGUAA
Molecule: ribosomal RNA, 144 nt
Filed under: uncultured bacterium
Lineage: Bacteria
Description: partial 16S ribosomal RNA
Rfam family: Bacterial small subunit ribosomal RNA
Source: RNAcentral